This 498-nucleotide ribosomal RNA is filed under the name uncultured bacterium. Its description in RNAcentral is "partial 16S ribosomal RNA". It matches the Rfam family "Bacterial small subunit ribosomal RNA", at positions 30 to 523 of the family's 1533-position model. The record is from RNAcentral.
AUUGAACGCUGGCGGCAUGCUUUACACAUGCAAGUCGAACGGUAACAAGUCUUCGGAUGCUGACGAGUGGCGAACGGGUGAGUAAUGCAUCGGAACGUGCCCAGUCGUGGGGGAUAACGCAGCGAAAGCUGCGCUAAUACCGCAUACGAUCUAUGGAUGGAAGCGGGGGACCGUAAGGCCUCGCGCGAUUGGAGCGGCCGAUGUCAGAUUAGGUAGUUGGUGGGGUAAAGGCCCACCAAGCCAACGAUCUGUAGCUGGUCUGAGAGGACGACCAGCCACACUGGGACUGAGACACGGCCCAGACUCCUACGGGAGGCAGCAGUAGGGAAUUUUGGACAAUGGGCGCAAGCCUGAUCCAGCAAUGCCGCGUGCAGGAAGAAGGCCUUCGGGUUGUAAACUGCUUUUGUACGGAACGAAACGGCUCUCUCUAAUACAGAGGGCUAAUGACGGUACCGUAAGAAUAAGCACCGGCUAACUACGUGCCAGCCGCCGCCGUAA